GAGUUUGAUCUUGGCUCAGAGUGAACGCUGGCGGCAUGCCUAACACAUGCAAGUCGAACGGUAACAGGCCCGCAAGGGUGCUGACGAGUGGCGGACGGGUGAGGAAUACAUCGGAAUCUGCCCGGUUGUGGGGGAUAACGUAGGGAAACUUACGCUAAUACCGCAUACGACCGAGAGGUGAAAGCGGGGGAUCGCAAGACCUCGCGCGAUCGGAUGAGCCGAUGUCGGAUUAGCUAGUUGGCGGGGUAAAGGCCCACCAAGGCGACGAUCCGUAGCUGGUCUGAGAGGAUGAUCAGCCACACUGGGACUGAGACACGGCCCAGACUCCUACGGGAGGCAGCAGUGGGGAAUAUUGGACAAUGGGGGCAACCCUGAUCCAGCAAUGCCGCGUGUGUGAAGAAGGCC
Molecule: ribosomal RNA, 405 nt
Filed under: uncultured Gammaproteobacteria bacterium
Lineage: Bacteria; Pseudomonadati; Pseudomonadota; Gammaproteobacteria
Description: bacterial SSU rRNA
Rfam family: Bacterial small subunit ribosomal RNA
Source: RNAcentral